UGCAGUCGAGCGGACCGACGGGAGCUUGCUCCCUUAGGUCAGCGGCGGACGGGUGAGUAACACGUGGGUAACCUGCCUGUAAGACUGGGAUAACUCCGGGAAACCGGGGCUAAUACCGGAUGCUUGAUUGAACCGCAUGGUUCAAUCAUAAAAGGUGGCUUUUAGCUACCACUUGCAGAUGGACCCGCGGCGCAUUAGCUAGUUGGUGAGGUAACGGCUCACCAAGGCGACGAUGCGUAGCCGACCUGAGAGGGUGAUCGGCCACACUGGGACUGAGACACGGCCCAGACUCCUACGGGAGGCAGCAGUAGGGAAUCUUCCGCAAUGGACGAAAGUCUGACGGAGCAACGCCGCGUGAGUGAUGAAGGUUUUCGGAUCGUAAAACUCUGUUGUUAGGGAAGAACAAGUACCGUUCGAAUAGGGCGGCACCUUGACGGUACCUAACCAGAAAGCCACGGCUAACUACGUGCCAGCAGCCGCGGUAAUACGUAGGUGGCAAGCGUUGUCCGGAAUUAUUGGGCGUAAAGCGCGCGCAGGCGGUUUCUUAAGUCUGAUGUGAAAGCCCCCGGCUCAACCGGGGAGGGUCAUUGGAAACUGGGGAACUUGAGUGCAGAAGAGGAGAGUGGAAUUCCACGUGUAGCGGUGAAAUGCGUAGAGAUGUGGAGGAACACCAGUGGCGAAGGCGACUCUCUGGUCUGUAACUGACGCUGAGGCGCGAAAGCGUGGGGAGCGAACAGGAUUAGAUACCCUGGUAGUCCACGCCGUAAACGAUGAGUGCUAAGUGUUAGAGGGUUUCCGCCCUUUAGUGCUGCAGCAAACGCAUUAAGCACUCCGCCUGGGGAGUACGGUCGCAAGACUGAAACUCAAAGGAAUUGACGGGGGCCCGCACAAGCGGUGGAGCAUGUGGUUUAAUUCGAAGCAACGCGAAGAACCUUACCAGGUCUUGACAUCCUCUGACAACCCUAGAGAUAGGGCUUCCCCUUCGGGGGCAGAGUGACAGGUGGUGCAUGGUUGUCGUCAGCUCGUGUCGUGAGAUGUUGGGUUAAGUCCCGCAACGAGCGCAACCCUUGAUCUUAGUUGCCAGCAUUCAGUUGGGCACUCUAAGGUGACUGCCGGUGACAAACCGGAGGAAAGGUGGGGAUGACGUCAAAUCAUCAUGCCCCUUAUGACCUGGGCUACCCACGUGCUACAAUGGGCAGAACAAAGGGCA
Molecule: ribosomal RNA, 1210 nt
Filed under: bacterium
Lineage: Bacteria
Description: bacterial SSU rRNA
Rfam family: Bacterial small subunit ribosomal RNA
Source: RNAcentral